Molecule: ribosomal RNA, 312 nt
Filed under: Triticum aestivum (bread wheat)
Lineage: Eukaryota; Viridiplantae; Streptophyta; Magnoliopsida; Poales; Poaceae
Description: partial small subunit ribosomal RNA
Source: RNAcentral
AUGUUCAGAAAUGCUCAGAAAAAGUUCAGGAAAAGUCCAGAAAUCCACAUAAACAUCAUAUUCAAAUGCAUCUUAUCUCAUGUCAUAAAACUGCUGGCUCAGUGCAUGUGUGGACACUUUUUUUUUGCUAAAUGCAGAAUGGAUGUUAAAUUCAGUUGUAGAAUGAACAGUGGCCAAACUAGAAUGAACUUUACAUGGAGUAAUUUUUCUUAUCUGGAGGCAGGGUUCUCUAUAAUAAUGGAACUCACAAGUGGCCAUAAAAAAGUGAACAGCAAAAUGCACUUGUUUCGAAUAAUCAUACACUUGCUCUAA